CCCUUAGAUGUUCUGGGCCGCACGCGCGCUACACUGACGAUGGCAACGAGUUUUUCCUUCGCCGAAAGGUGUGGGUAAUCUUUUGAAACAUCGUCGUGCUGGGGAUAGAUCAUUGCAAUUUUUGAUCUUGAACGAGGAAUUCCUAGUGAGCGCGAGUCAUCAGCUCGCGUUGAUUACGUCCCUGCCCUUUGUACACACCGCCCGUCGCUACUACCGAUUGAAUGGUUUAGUGAGGACUCCUGAUUGGCGCCGCCGCCCCGGCAACGGAGCAGCGGACUGCCGAAAAGUUGUUCAAACUUGAUCAUUUAGAGGAAGUAAAAGUCGUAACA
RNAcentral lists this ribosomal RNA (329 nucleotides) under uncultured eukaryote. RNAcentral's name for it is "partial 18S ribosomal RNA". It matches the Rfam family "Eukaryotic small subunit ribosomal RNA", at positions 1470 to 1796 of the family's 1831-position model. The record is from RNAcentral.